AAUCCCUACUGGCAACAAGAAAGAUCAUUUCCACUGGGUGCCAAAAGUCUGUGAAUUUUCGGUGUGCACAGGUCUUGCAUGUGGAGACUGGCACGAUACAGCUAAUAAUAGAGGGCCAGUCUCCAAUAAUUGAAGCUACCUACCGCGAUCUGUGGCGAUGAAGUUUUUGCCUCUGCAAGCCUCUUCUUAUUGAGAUCUCUUUCCCCUCUGUGCUGGAGAAAGGGUAAGUCCUUCGCUGAGAUGUGGUCGAGAUGUUGGGAGCCUGGUUGAGAAGGCCUGCGAUUAUGCAGUCCUAUGGGGAACAGCAACGAGUUGGAUCUGAUCUACGCCCGCUAAAGACUUCAUUUUUGUCGAGACGAAGCUCAUCAUCAGCACAGCCGGAAAUAUGUGGAUCAAAGAUGAGAAGAUGAAAGGGAGCCAGGAGUAAUUGCUGAUGCAAUUCAAGGACGUCGCUUAUGAUGCUUGCGAUUUGCUGGACGAGUUCCGCUACCAAAUUCAUUCUGCUACUGAGCGACGAAGAGAUGAGAUCAAGAUGUUUUAAGAUUUGGAUCUGUGUAUCGAGAAUCUGCAAACUUAGAGAAGUGCGACAUUGACAGCCGCAGAUGGAAGAGCCUUUGUAUCAGCCGCAAAUGGGACAGCAAUCUCAUGAAGCCUUCUGCCGUCCAGAUCUGGAUCGCCCCAUGUCUAUAAAAAGAGAAAGAAAUCUUUGGGAAACACGGAUCAAAAAGCUGAACACUUGUCAAGGCACUGAUAGCUCAGCCGCAGCACAGGCAAAAGCUUGUUUGUCUUCGUUCACGACUGAUGACAACAAAGAUUCCGAGGGGUUUUGCUGCAAGUGGACAGCCCUUCAACUUGCCGACGAUCUUUCUACCAAUAAGCUCCAGCUCUGUAUGCUGGUCGUCGGGACUCGGGACCAUCGCAGAAUUUGGUACCGGAACUCGUGCAGUAAGUCAUCGGCAUCAUAAGCGGUGUCCUUGAGUUGCAUCAGCAAUUCCUUCACGUCCCGUUUCAAGUUCUCAUCUUUGAUCCACAUAUUCUCGGCUGUGCUGAUGAUGGUCUGAAUCUUGAGCGGAGUAGCGUAUAGUUGCGAUCAUCUUCGAUCACCUGCACCCCAAACCGUUCAAUUUACGCUGGCUCCCCAUUAAAGUCUUCUCGAGCAAUCUCAAGGCUGUUGAUAAUAUCAACGACAUUUCAGUAAAGAGCUGAUCCUUCUUCCUCCAAACACAAAGCUCAAAGAGAUAUCCAGGAGAGAGAAAAGACAGGUAGCUUCGAUUAGAGGCUGUAUCUCUUUUCACUGGAACUGUGGAACGAUGAUCCCAUGCAAACCUUAUGAAGGUUUACAAAGAAGGAUCGACGACUUUGAAGGAAUCCAUUGAUCUUGUAGCAUAAGAACUUUGAUCUUGUAAACAAAGAAGGAUCGGGUGGGAAUCAACUUUUCCUUCGACUUUUCA
Musa acuminata AAA Group (dessert banana) is the source of this 1451-nucleotide long non-coding RNA. RefSeq lists it as uncharacterized. Lineage: Eukaryota; Viridiplantae; Streptophyta; Magnoliopsida; Zingiberales; Musaceae. The record is from RefSeq and is a predicted model, not a curated record. The transcript has 2 exons.